AACGAACGCUGGCGGCAGGCCUAACACAUGCAAGUCGAACGAAGUCUUCGGACUUAGUGGCGGACGGGUGAGUAACACGUGGGAACGUGCCUUCUGGUACGGAACAACAGCUGGAAACGGCUGCUAAUACCGUAUGAUGUCUUCGGACCAAAGAUUUAUCGCCAGAAGAUCGGCCCGCGUUGGAUUAGGUAGUUGGUGGGGUAACGGCCUACCAAGCCUACGAUCCAUAGCUGGUCUUAGAGGAUGAUCAGCCACACUGGGACUGAGACACGGCCCAGACUCCUACGGGAGGCAGCAGUGGGGAAUCUUAGACAAUGGGGGCAACCCUGAUCUAGCCAUGCCGCGUGAUCGAUGACGGCCCUAGGGUUGUAAAGAUCUUUCGACGGGGACGAUAAUGACGGUACCCGUAGAAGAAGCUCCGGCUAACUUCG
RNAcentral lists this ribosomal RNA (431 nucleotides) under uncultured Alphaproteobacteria bacterium. RNAcentral's name for it is "bacterial SSU rRNA". It matches the Rfam family "Bacterial small subunit ribosomal RNA", at positions 29 to 505 of the family's 1533-position model. Lineage: Bacteria; Pseudomonadati; Pseudomonadota; Alphaproteobacteria. The record is from RNAcentral.